GGGGGAAGGGAAGCCAACCAAUGUGAGGGAGAGAACUAACAAAUACUGCGGAGGGGAACCCAACAAACGAAAUAUAAAAAAAGAUAUAGAAAAUCAGUGAUUUAGAGGCUGCAGAUAAACCCAAAGCUCAGGCUGAACGUUCCUCAGAGGCAGACUGACCAGGAGGAGGAGGAGGAUCCCUCCGAAAUGAUGGGCAGGAAGAAGAGAGGAGCGCUGCUGCUUACCCUGCGGUUCCGGUUGUGCUCUGCGGAGCGCAGGUGCCGCUGCAGGAGGUGGUUCUGGGCAGGGAUCAGCAUGUCACAGGCCAUGCAGUGAGCAGCCUCGAUCUUCUUGAAGAAGUGUUCCUGGCCAAUGCCUGCGGGGAUGGGAAAACACCGGGCAAAAAAAAUCGGAAGGAAAUGAGGCAUUCUGCCCAAACUUUUUGAGGUCUGCCUCCUUUUUAGGAUCUAUUUCGCGAGCCUCGCAGAUCUGCUGCUUGAGGAACCGCAGAAGGGACGGACAUCCCCUUCCCCAUAAUGAUUUACUCUACAAAACAAGCAAAAAACUCACUCUGCCCCAAAGAGCACACCCAGCACCACCCGGCUGCUGCCCCUGGACGGCUGACACCUCUUACCCUUGAAGGGAUCCGGCUUCUGCUUCACGCCCUCCUUCUCCGUCAGCUCCUGGCGGCGCUUCUCAAUCUUCCUGUUCCUGUUGACGAUGUACUCCUGGAGGGGACAACACCCACCACACAACACCCCCUCAGCUGUCGGUGUCGGCCAACAGCAGCUCCGCAGGAAGACCACAAGGAUGACUAUAAUGGGCACAGCGGGUGCCUUCCCCUGUCCCCUGUCGGGUUGAUGCUGUUAUACCCCACUGGGACACAACAGUGGCACCCUACGGCCCCCAGAAGGAAACAACCUCACGUAUCUGACCCCAAAAAGCAAACAGUGGUCAGCCCCAGAAAAUAAAACACCCUCCUCUCGGUCCUCCCUCGGUUCUAUCUGAGCAGAUGGCAAAGAACUGCUGCGGCAUCUUUCCCCAGCUACAUCUACGCAAAACGGUCAAGAAUUUCUGGAGCAUUCAUCUUUGGCUUUUCUGUUUAAAUUCACACAUUACUUCGUCUUCCCAACGUGCCAAACCGUGAGACACUGCAUCAAGAAAAGCGACGUCAGUGAGCGACGCACGGAAGCGGUGAUGUCGGCCAAGCAGUAAAGGGCUUCAACAGUGCAGAACCCCUCCCUCCCUCACAGACCCCAAACUGACCC
This is a long non-coding RNA of Gallus gallus (chicken), 1247 nucleotides long. RefSeq lists it as uncharacterized. NCBI's taxonomy places the organism in Eukaryota, Metazoa, Chordata, Aves, Galliformes, Phasianidae. The transcript is spliced from 2 exons. The record is from RefSeq and is a predicted model, not a curated record.